ACUAAAAUUUAAUUAAAAUUAAAAAGAGUACAGCACCCACAGACUGGUUGUAAUAUUCCAAAGCCAGAAGAAUCAACAGAAACAGGCUUCUCUAUUGUCUGAGCUCGUAGAUAGACUUUAUGGCCUCUGAGCAACAGCCAUACAACUGCCACAAUGUCUCACCUCACCUUACCAAGAGACAGACUGUAACGCAUCCCAGGAGAUGAAGACCGACCAAGAAGCAUGUCCAAUUAAAGGAAUCUGGGAGCACGAGGUUCCCUGGAGGAGACAUCCUUCCCACUCAGGACACAGUACAGCAGACUCCGGUGGCCUCUUCUCUCAACUCCAACAAAGCAAUUGAGGUAUAAGACGUAGAUAAGGCUAUUUCAAGUCAUCCCCACUGCCAAUGCUGGGAUCAGUG
Pelodiscus sinensis (Chinese soft-shelled turtle) is the source of this 400-nucleotide non-coding RNA. The record is from RefSeq and is a predicted model, not a curated record. NCBI's taxonomy places the organism in Eukaryota, Metazoa, Chordata, Testudines, Trionychidae.